This 606-nucleotide ribosomal RNA is filed under the name Escherichia coli. RNAcentral describes it as "bacterial LSU rRNA". It matches the Rfam family "Bacterial large subunit ribosomal RNA", at positions 915 to 1522 of the family's 2925-position model. Lineage: Bacteria; Pseudomonadati; Pseudomonadota; Gammaproteobacteria; Enterobacterales; Enterobacteriaceae. The record is from RNAcentral.
UCGGCAAGGGGGUCAUCCCGACUUACCAACCCGAUGCAAACUGCGAAUACCGGAGAAUGUUAUCACGGGAGACACACGGCGGGUGCUAACGUCCGUCGUGAAGAGGGAAACAACCCAGACCGCCAGCUAAGGUCCCAAAGUCAUGGUUAAGUGGGAAACGAUGUGGGAAGGCCCAGACAGCCAGGAUGUUGGCUUAGAAGCAGCCAUCAUUUAAAGAAAGCGUAAUAGCUCACUGGUCGAGUCGGCCUGCGCGGAAGAUGUAACGGGGCUAAACCAUGCACCGAAGCUGCGGCAGCGACGCUUAUGCGUUGUUGGGUAGGGGAGCGUUCUGUAAGCCUGUGAAGGUGUACUGUGAGGUAUGCUGGAGGUAUCAGAAGUGCGAAUGCUGACAUAAGUAACGAUAAAGCGGGUGAAAAGCCCGCUCGCCGGAAGACCAAGGGUUCCUGUCCAACGUUAAUCGGGGCAGGGUGAGUCGACCCCUAAGGCGAGGCCGAAAGGCGUAGUCGAUGGGAAACAGGUUAAUAUUCCUGUACUUGGUGUUACUGCGAAGGGGGGACGGAGAAGGCUAUGUUGGCCGGGCGACGGUUGUCCCGGUUUAAGCGUGUA